Molecule: unclassified non-coding RNA, 210 nt
Filed under: Hevea brasiliensis (rubber tree)
Lineage: Eukaryota; Viridiplantae; Streptophyta; Magnoliopsida; Malpighiales; Euphorbiaceae
Source: RNAcentral
GGAGAAACAGGUAGCCGUAUGUUAGAGGAUGUGCAGGUGCUAAAUUUUGAUAGCUUUUCCUGGACAACAGCUUCAUCAAAGCUCUACCUCUCGCCCACCAGUCUUCCUCUAAAGAUCCCAGCAUGCAAGGGUCAUGCUUUGGUUCAAUGGGGGAAAAAGAUUCUUAUGGUUGGAGGGAAAACAGACCCUUCAAGUGACAAAGUCUCAGUC